This 703-nucleotide long non-coding RNA is filed under the name Olea europaea (common olive). RNAcentral describes it as "long non-coding RNA (OEUR_LNC010443)". The record is from RNAcentral. Lineage: Eukaryota; Viridiplantae; Streptophyta; Magnoliopsida; Lamiales; Oleaceae.
CACCGCCGAGACUUCAUAAAGCUGAUCGCCUUCAUAUUUGUUGCUAUCACCGUAAUAGAUGCGGCCGAGGAGUCUCAUGAUCGGAGGAAUACAAAACAGGUCGUAAGCAUCAGUGAACAACCCCAUUCCCGCCACGAUUAUGGCCUUGAAAUGAUAGUAUUGUGUUCUUGCCGAGUCGAGAUCAGAGAGAACUUUGAGCGCCAUUGUACAAUUCCCACAAUUUUUCCUUCCUAAGUCGAAAGAUUUAUACCUAUUCGGUCCCCGAGGUAACCAAAAACCAGCUGCCCAAUAACGGUCCCGAGGAGGGCCGUGCCAACCAUGACAGAAGUCACCACCGCCGAGACUUCAUAAAGCUGAUCGCCUUCAUAUUUGUUGCUAUCACCGUAAUAGAUGCGGCCGAGGAGUCUCAUGAUCGGAGGAAUACAAAACAGGUCGUAAGCAUCAGUGAACACCCCCAUUCCCGCCACGAUUAUGGCCUUGAAAUGAUAGUAUUGUGUUCUUGCCGAGUCGAGAUCAGAGAGAACUUUGAGCGCCAUUGUACAAUUCCCACAAUUUUUCCUUCCUAAGUCGAAAGAUUUAUAAACUAGAGUCAAAUUUCUUGUACUCAUCCAUGCUUUAAAAUAAUUGGUAAUCCAAGACUGAAAGAGACAAUGGAAGUUGGAGGGGAAUUUCUUACAAACAGACAACUACAAGAGAAGACUUC